Molecule: transfer RNA, 63 nt
Filed under: Echinostoma revolutum
Lineage: Eukaryota; Metazoa; Platyhelminthes; Trematoda; Plagiorchiida; Echinostomatidae
Description: tRNA-Ser
Source: RNAcentral
UAUGGUGAUUUCCGGGGUUGAUUUGAAGUCAUCCUUUUCAUAUUUGUUUAUGAUGCUCGCUAG